GACGAACGCUGGCGGCGUGCUUAACACAUGCAAGUCGAGCGGUAAGGCCCUUUCGGGGGUACGACGAGCGGCGAACGGGUGAGUAACACGUGGGUGACCUGCCCUCAGCUCUGGGAGUAAGCCUGGGAAACCGGGUCUAAUACUGGAUAUGACUCCAUGACGCAUGUUGUGGGGUGGAAAGCCUUGUGCGGCUGAGGAUGGGCCCGCGGCCUAUCAGCUUGUUGGUGGGGUGAUGGCCUACCAAGGCGACGACGGGUAGCCGGCCUGAGAGGGCGACCGGCCACACUGGGACUGAGACACGGCCCAGACUCCUACGGGAGGCAGCAGUGGGGAAUCUUGCGCAAUGGGCGAAAGCCUGACGCAGCGACGCCGCGUGAGGGAUGACGGCCUGGUUGUAAC
This 399-nucleotide ribosomal RNA is filed under the name uncultured bacterium. RNAcentral's name for it is "bacterial SSU rRNA". It matches the Rfam family "Bacterial small subunit ribosomal RNA", at positions 28 to 429 of the family's 1533-position model. The record is from RNAcentral.